Molecule: transfer-messenger RNA, 353 nt
Filed under: Methylomirabilales (SeqCode)
Lineage: Bacteria; Methylomirabilota (SeqCode); Methylomirabilia (SeqCode)
Description: CSP1-5 sp001443495 Standard tmRNA
Rfam family: transfer-messenger RNA
About the family: Bacterial tmRNA, also known as 10Sa RNA or SsrA, is named for its dual tRNA and mRNA-like properties. Its role is to liberate the mRNA from a stalled ribosome.
Source: RNAcentral
GGGGGCGAAACGGUUUCGACGGGGACGCGGUUGGUAGAGGUGGCAUGCCGAGGUCCCAUCACCCUCGUAAAACCGGUGGGAAAAACACAACUGCCAACGCUGAAUUGGCACUGGCUGCCUAACUAGCAGCCACGCCUCCCUGGCCUCGCUUACUGGGUAGGGUAAGGCGUCAUACAGGUGAGCUGGCCUCCCUUCUCCGGCCCGGGGGAGGGGGGCGAGAACAAAAGGGCUGGUCGGUGAAUGAACCCUGCCUGUGGGGGUUUUCACCGACGAGAUCAAAACACAGGAUAAGCAUGUAGAGGCUUCUAUGGGCUCGUUCUCGGACGCGGGUUCAAUUCCCGCCGCCUCCACCA